This 441-nucleotide ribosomal RNA is filed under the name uncultured bacterium. Its description in RNAcentral is "partial 16S ribosomal RNA". It matches the Rfam family "Bacterial small subunit ribosomal RNA", at positions 338 to 794 of the family's 1533-position model. The record is from RNAcentral.
UCUACGGGGGGCAGCAGUGGGGAAUAUUGCACAAUGGGGGGAACCCUGAUGCAGCGACGCCGCGUGAGUGAAGAAGUAUUUCGGUACGUAAAGCUCUAUCAGCAGGGAAGAAAAAAGGACGGUACCUGAGUAAGAAGCCCCGGCUAACUACGUGCCAGCAGCCGCGGUAAUACGUAGGGGGCAAGCGUUAUCCGGAAUUAGGGGGUGUAAAGUGAGCGUAGACGGCAAUGCAAGUCCGGGGUGUAAUGCGGCAGCGAAACUGCCGAACUGCUCUGGAAACUGUAUGGCUUGAGUGCAGGAGGGGUAGGGGGAAUUCCGGGUGUGGCGGUGAAAUGCGUAGAUAUCAGGAGGAACACCGGUGGCGAGGGCGGCUUACUGGACUGUAACUGACGUUGAGGCUCGAAAGCGUGGGGAGCAAACAGGAUUAGAUACCCCUGUAGU